GAUGAACGCUGGCGGCGUGCCUAAUACAUGCAAGUCGGGCGGACAGAUGAGGCGCUUGCUCCUCUGACGUUAGCGGCGGAGGGGUGAGUAACACGUGGAUCACCUCCCUAUCAGACGGAGAUAACUUGGAAACAGCGGCGCAAAUACCGGAUAAACUCUUGAUCCACGUUGGUCAAUAGUAAAAGACGGCUUUGCGGUCACUUAUCGCUGCAUCCGAGCCGGAUUAGCUGGUUGGUAAGGUAACGGCUUACCAAGGCAACGAUGCGUAGCCGACCGGAGAGGCGGAUCGGCCACACUGGAACGUAGACAGGCACCAGACUCCUACGAGAGGCAGCAGUCGCGUAUCUUCCGCAAUGGGCGAAAGUCUUACGCAACAACGCCGCGUGAGAUAUGAAGGUCUUCCGAGCGUAAAGCCCUGUUAUUAGUGAUGAACAAAUUUGUAAUUAACCAUACCCUUCUUGACGGUACCGAAUCAGAAAGCCCCGGCUAACUACGUG
This 497-nucleotide ribosomal RNA is filed under the name uncultured bacterium. RNAcentral describes it as "partial 16S ribosomal RNA". It matches the Rfam family "Bacterial small subunit ribosomal RNA", at positions 28 to 507 of the family's 1533-position model. The record is from RNAcentral.